AUGAUGUCCCUGCUCAAGUACAAGAUGAAGCAUAUGAGAAAAACUUGGUUUCAAGAGAGGUUUCCUUUAGCCAUUAGGCUGCUGCAUGCUCAAGUUUCUUCUCCCAAAAGUGAUUGUAGUCAUGUACCAUGCAGUGAAAUAGCAUUCACUAGUUUUCAAGAAAGUGAAAUCUACUUCACCUAUGUGGAAUGGAGAGAGUACAAAUCAGUUGAAAUAAAUAGGCAGGUUUAUUGAUUCAAGCAUGGGCUCCAUCCUGUAUGAAUUCAUCUCCUGAACACCUGUGCCAGCAAUUCUUCCACUACAAAAUACUGCAAAAAGCUGUCAAUUUGGUUGAAACCUCCUGUCYGUUCCUAGUCGCCGAUUCUUCU
RNAcentral lists this long non-coding RNA (368 nucleotides) under Apteryx rowi (Okarito brown kiwi). RNAcentral describes it as "lncRNA (ENSARWG00000010531.1)". Lineage: Eukaryota; Metazoa; Chordata; Aves; Apterygiformes; Apterygidae. The record is from RNAcentral.